Long non-coding RNA from Herpailurus yagouaroundi (jaguarundi), 790 nucleotides. RefSeq lists it as uncharacterized. The record is from RefSeq and is a predicted model, not a curated record. The transcript is spliced from 2 exons. Lineage: Eukaryota; Metazoa; Chordata; Mammalia; Carnivora; Felidae.
CACACAUCCAUGAGCCCAGAACAAGGGCCGGGCUGGGGACCACGGGACCACGAACGGGUCCUGUGGCCCAGGUCUGAUGCUGAUCAGAGAGUGAGCAGGAGAAAGCAGGGCCCGCUUUAGGAGCCACACGCUGUUCUCGAGAUUGACAAUCUGCUCCAACCUGCGUUACUGUCCCAACCCAGCGGCGAGGUGGCUGCUGUCACCCCCAGGUUACAGAUGGCAAGUGAGUCAACAGAUGGCAUCAAAGUGGAAUGCUGGGACUACUUCCUCCUUCAACCCCAGAGCAGACCCAGCUCCCAAGUACCCUGUGAUCACAGCUGUGAAGAGCAUGCUCUUGGCAGGACGCCACAAGGAUGACAAGUGUCGUCCUUGACUUUGUCACACUGACGUGUUGUAACGCCCAGGGACAGUUCAAGGCACUGGGCACCGUGAGCAGCACGUCCACACCCAGCCUCGUGCUAGGUGCUGUGGGGAAGUGGGGACAACAGGUGCACGCUGGCCACAAGCGACUCCCACUGCAGUCAGAAGAAGGAGUGAUCUGUAGAUGCCAUCAGCUCUCAGGCAGACCCUCUCUGUGCCCUGCCUCUACCUUGCCUGAGCUUAAGUCUCAUCUCUGAUGCUUGGAUGCGGAUCCUUGGAUGCGGCAGCCAGGCCAGCUGGCACGACCAGCUGUGUGAGCCCAGGCAAGCGACGUGACCUCUCUGUACUUCAGUUUCCUCGUCUGGAAAAGGUGUACGGUGGGAUUCCUUGGUGUAUAAAGCUCUUAGAGCACAACCCUUGGCAAAUGCUA